RNA transcript from Rhododendron vialii, 1114 nucleotides. RefSeq lists it as uncharacterized. The record is from RefSeq and is a predicted model, not a curated record. The transcript is spliced from 2 exons. NCBI's taxonomy places the organism in Eukaryota, Viridiplantae, Streptophyta, Magnoliopsida, Ericales, Ericaceae.
UUACACAGCCGAUCCCAAGCUCGGAGAAAGGAGGAGGGUUGUACAUUUGGUAGGCUUACAAUCAUCACGUAAAAAGAUUCAGUCAGAUCUUUUAUGAAUGUGUUCGAUUUAUGGUUUGGUUUGAUUUGCAUUUUGGAAACUCGACUUGAGUAAGACACAUGAACAUGCUUUGGAGAUGGGUAUGAAGUUAGCAUUCCCUUGUGUCUGUGGGUGGUUGUAGCUGGACUUGAACUUGUGGUAGUAUGGUCUUCUUUUUCAUGCCACAGCUGUAGUACUAUCUGUCAUGAGCUUUAAUUUUUCUUCUUUCCCGGUGUAUUAUGAGGUCGUAAUAAGAUUUUUCAUACUCUUGUAUGUAGGUUUUGAUGCUUUUUUAAUCUCUUUCAAUGCCAGUUGCUUAAAAGCACUCGAAUUUUAUUGGCAUUAUCAGUCUUGUUUGUUUUACAUCAUGCGUUCCUUGCUUGGAGCUGUUGCUACAGUGAUCUACUGGUUAUUAUCUGUGCCGUUACAUUCCUUCCUUCCUUCCUUGGAGCUGUUGCUACAGUGGUCUUACCAUCUGUGCCUAACUGCUCGAACCCCCCUCUCCCUUUACUCAUGUUUUCUGCUUACGGACUUCAAAUGUCGUCUCCACUAGGUCAUGCUUUCGUUCCAUUUUUCUUUUUAUAGGAACAAAGGAAGCUUUGGACUGGUUCCGUCUGCAGUAGAUUCACAUCCUGUCUCAUACUAUGUUGGCCAUGCCUACAUGGCUCUCAUCAGACAUAGUGUGGGCUAUCAAGUUCACCCAGGCUAUUUGCAGUCCGGUUUUGCAUCGGAAUUCUUACACAAUCAUGGUAAUGAAUUUUCUCUGCAUUCUCGUGGUGCAGGGGUUAUUUUUAAUUGCGCAUGCUGCUGUAAUUUCUGAGACAGCCUGACCUUUGUUUCCUUUCCUGGUUAGAACUGUAUUCCAAUUUCUCUCUGUAUCGGCCGGUUAAGUGCUGUUUAACUGUGUUUGUGAUUAUGUUUGCACUGAAGGAAGCUGAGAUCCAAAGCUAGGUGAAAGGUGCAUCACAAGGAGCACUUACUGUAUAGCUAUUAUGUUAAACCCACUGCUAGUACAUCUUGUCGUCCUCUGUUGAUG